CCUACGGGGGGCAGCAGUGGGGAAUAUUGGACAAUGGGGGCAACCCUGAUCCAGCCAUGCCGCGUGUGUGAAGAAGGCCCUCGGGUUGUAAAGCACUUUCAGUGAGGAAGAACGCCUGGUGGUUAAUACCCAUCAGGAAAGACAUCACUCACAGAAGAAGCACCGGCUAACUCCGUGCCAGCAGCCGCGGUAAUACGGAGGGUGCGAGCGUUAAUCGGAAUUACUGGGCGUAAAGCGCGCGUAGGUGGCUUGAUAAGCCGGUUGUGAAAGCCCCGGGCUCAACCUGGGAACGGCAUCCGGAACUGUCAAGCUAGAGUGCAGGAGAGGAAGGUAGAAUUUCCGGUGUAGCGGUGAAAUGCGUAGAGAUCGGGAGGAAUACCAGUGGCGAAGGCGGCCUUCUGGACUGACACUGACACUGAGGUGCGAAAGCGUGGGUAGCAAACAGGAUUAGAUACCCUUGUAGUC
RNAcentral lists this ribosomal RNA (465 nucleotides) under Vreelandella stevensii. Its description in RNAcentral is "partial 16S ribosomal RNA". It matches the Rfam family "Bacterial small subunit ribosomal RNA", at positions 338 to 795 of the family's 1533-position model. Lineage: Bacteria; Pseudomonadati; Pseudomonadota; Gammaproteobacteria; Oceanospirillales; Halomonadaceae. The record is from RNAcentral.